UGGGGAAUAUUGCACAAUGGGCGCAAGCCUGAUGCAGCCAUGCCGCGUGUAUGAAGAAGGCCUUCGGGUUGUAAAGUACUUUCAGCGGGGAGGAAGGGAGUAAAGUUAAUACCUUUGCUCAUUGACGUUACCCGCAGAAGAAGCACCGGCUAACUCCGUGCCAGCAGCCGCGGUAAUACGGAGGGUGCAAGCGUUAAUCGGAAUUACUGGGCGUAAAGCGCACGCAGGCGGUUUGUUAAGUCGGAUGUGAGAUCCCCGGGCUCAACCUGGGAAGUGCAUAUUAUACUGGCGAGCUUGAGUCUCGUAGAGGGGGGUAGAAUUCCAGGUGUAGCGGUGAAAUGCGUUGAGAGCCGGAGGAAUACCGGUGGCGAAGGCGGCCCCCUAGACGAAGACUGGCGCUCAGGUGCGAAAGCGUGGGGAGCAAACAGG
This 429-nucleotide ribosomal RNA is filed under the name Chloroflexota bacterium. Its description in RNAcentral is "Chloroflexi bacterium partial 16S ribosomal RNA". It matches the Rfam family "Bacterial small subunit ribosomal RNA", at positions 355 to 776 of the family's 1533-position model. The record is from RNAcentral. Lineage: Bacteria; Bacillati; Chloroflexota.